UACGUAGGGUCCGAGCGUUGUCCGGAAUUACUGGGCGUAAAGAGCUCGUAGGUGGUUUGUCGCGUUGUUCGUGAAAACUCACAGCUUAACUGUGGGCGUGCGGGCGAUACGGGCAGACUUGAGUACUGCAGGGGAGACUGGAAUUCCUGGUGUAGCGGUGGAAUGCGCAGAUAUCAGGAGGAACACCGGUGGCGAAGGCGGUGGUCUGGGCCGGAACUGACGCUGAGGAGCGAAAGCGUGGGGAGCGAACAGG
RNAcentral lists this ribosomal RNA (253 nucleotides) under uncultured bacterium. RNAcentral's name for it is "partial 16S ribosomal RNA". It matches the Rfam family "Bacterial small subunit ribosomal RNA", at positions 524 to 776 of the family's 1533-position model. The record is from RNAcentral.